UAAUGUUACAUUAUUGUAAUUGCUGGGUAUAAUAACUGUAACAUAUUAUUGUAGUAAAAUGGCCUGUUUUUGGACAUCAAGUCUCAUAGUUCUGAGUAACACUGCUCUUUAGCUCAUGUAUGAUGACACUUCAGACAUGUGUUAUGUGUUUUGUGAGCUCAGAUGUUCCUGUGGGCUAGUUGGAGGCUGGCAGGAUUUGGGCUGCAGUCAGAGGCAGGAAGAGAUGAAACUGAGAUUGUAAUACAUACACUCCAGAGCCUACUCUUUUAAUCUGUU
RNAcentral lists this long non-coding RNA (276 nucleotides) under Bos taurus (domestic cattle). RNAcentral describes it as "long non-coding RNA NONBTAT020435". The record is from RNAcentral. Lineage: Eukaryota; Metazoa; Chordata; Mammalia; Artiodactyla; Bovidae.